UUGUGUGAGAAUCGGAGAAGGAGAAUUAAAGAGUUAAAAGAGUGAGAGCACAGAUGGACAAUGGAGGUCCGAGAAUACAGAGAGAGAAAAAAAAAUUAGAGAAUAGAGAAAGAGUUUGAGGGCAGAGAGAGACGAGUUGCGGGGAGGAGCUGAGAUUUUAGAGAGGAAGCCGGGAGCUUGAGGCUUUGAUGAUCCUGUGAGGGAAAUUCUUUUCCAAGGUACUUAUCCCCAAAAUAAGCUAACUCAGCUAAAUAAGAGCAUAAUUGAAUCAAUCUUGAGAUGAAUCAAAGAAAUGAGGCAAAAUGAAGCAAGUGGUGGAAGUUCAGCAUGUUCGAUUGAUCGAAAGUUCAUCGAUCUCAGCAUUCCAAGAUGGAUCCAAGCUCUUUUGUCCUUAUCCAAAGAUCUCACAAAGUUUGAUUGAUCCAACUUUCUUUCGAUCGAUCGAAAAGAUUCCAUCUUAUCCACUUGUACCACCCUACCUACAACAUUUGUCUCUUUCCCAAAAAUAUCUUCAAAAUAUCUCAGAUUUGUUUUUAUACAAAAAGGCGCCGCCAUAGUGGACCGAUCCAGCCUUAGUUUGAUAGAUCUCAGCCAUGUUCGACCGAUCUCAUCCAAGGUUCGAUCAAUCGAACUUCCCCAAGUACGCAAAAAGACAAAAAUCCAGCUCAUUGAAAGUUGUCUCAUAGCCAAUCAUUGGAGGAAUGUUGGAGUGUGAGCCCAGACCAUUAGGGUGACAUUUUAACCUACUUAUAUAAGGAAUAUGAGCCACUUUUUGAGAUAUACUUGAUAUACUUUAGAAUAGAGAGGAGGCACAAUUUUCAUAUUCUUAGUGAAGAAGAAAAGAAAGGAGGAGGCUAGAGACACAAGCUUGGAGUUCUUCCAUCCACCAAGAAGAGGAGCAAUUUCAUCCAUGGAGUUAGCCCUUGAGGGUUGGAGAAGCACAUCCAUGAGUGGCUAGACAUCCUCUUGGGGCUAGAGUUAGCCCUAAGCAUGCUUUCUGCAUCUUGAUUUAUGUAUAUUUGAGGGGAUUUGUAUUGUGAUACAUGUUUUGACAUAUUUAUAUACAUAGAUCUUGUUUAUUCAA
This is a long non-coding RNA of Cornus florida, 1084 nucleotides long. RefSeq lists it as uncharacterized. The transcript is spliced from 2 exons. The record is from RefSeq and is a predicted model, not a curated record. NCBI's taxonomy places the organism in Eukaryota, Viridiplantae, Streptophyta, Magnoliopsida, Cornales, Cornaceae.